RNAcentral lists this ribosomal RNA (383 nucleotides) under uncultured eukaryote. RNAcentral's name for it is "SSU rRNA". It matches the Rfam family "Eukaryotic small subunit ribosomal RNA", at positions 587 to 969 of the family's 1831-position model. The record is from RNAcentral.
AGCUCCAAUAGCGUAUAUUAAUGUUGUUGCAGUUAAAAAGCUCGUAGUUGGAUUCCUGGCACGGGGUAGCCGGUCCGCCUUGCAAAAGGUGCGCACUGAGCGGCCUCGGCCAUCCUUGCGAUGGUCUAUCCUGGCAUUCAGUUGUCGGGGUGGGGAUUCGCGACGUUUACUGUGAAAAAAUCAGAGUGUUCAACGCAGGCUUACGCCUUGAAUACAUUAGCAUGGAAUAAUGAGAUAGGACCUUGGCGGUCUAUUUUGUUGGUUUGCACGCCGAGGUAAUGAUUAAAAGGGACGGUUGGGGUUCUUCGUAUUCAAUUGUCAGAGGUGAAAUUCUUGGAUUUAUGGAAGACGAACUGCUGCGAAAGCGUCGAACAAGGACGUUC